UACGGAGGGGGCUAGCGUUAUUCGGAAUUACUGGGCGUAAAGCGCACGUAGGCGGCUUUGUAAGUCAGAGGUGAAAGCCUGGAGCUCAACUCCAGAACUGCCUUUGAGACUGCAUCGCUUGAAUCCAGGAGAGGUGAGUGGAAUUCCGAGUGUAGAGGUGAAAUUCGUAGAUAUUCGGAAGAACACCAGUGGCGAAGGCGGCUCACUGGCCCGGUACUGACGCUGAGGUGCGAAAGCGUGGGGAGCGAACAGG
This 253-nucleotide ribosomal RNA is filed under the name uncultured bacterium. RNAcentral describes it as "partial 16S ribosomal RNA". It matches the Rfam family "Bacterial small subunit ribosomal RNA", at positions 524 to 776 of the family's 1533-position model. The record is from RNAcentral.